This 331-nucleotide unclassified non-coding RNA is filed under the name soil metagenome. RNAcentral's name for it is "partial contains 5.8S ribosomal RNA, internal transcribed spacer 2, and large subunit ribosomal RNA". The stretch from base 1 to 120 matches the Rfam family "5.8S ribosomal RNA", at positions 35 to 154 of the family's 154-position model. The record is from RNAcentral.
GAUGAAGAACGCAGCGAAACGCGAUAGGUAAUGUGAAUUGCAGAAUUCCGUGAAUCAUCGAAUCUUUGAACGCACAUUGCGCCCCCUGGUAUUCCGGGGGGCAUGCCUGUUCGAGCGUCAUUUCACCACUCAAGCCUCGCUUGGUAUUGGGCAACGCGGUCCGCCGCGUGCCUCAAAUCGACCGGCUGGGUCUUCUGUCCCCUAAGCGUUGUGGAAACUAUUCGCUAAAGGGUGUUCGGGAGGCUACGCCGUAAAACAACCCCAUUUCUAAGGUUGACCUCGGAUCAGGUAGGGAUACCCGCUGAACUUAAGAAUAUCAAUAAGCGGAGGA